RNAcentral lists this ribosomal RNA (240 nucleotides) under uncultured Lactobacillus sp. Its description in RNAcentral is "partial 16S ribosomal RNA". It matches the Rfam family "Bacterial small subunit ribosomal RNA", at positions 122 to 356 of the family's 1533-position model. The record is from RNAcentral. Lineage: Bacteria; Bacillati; Bacillota; Bacilli; Lactobacillales; Lactobacillaceae.
UAACCUGCCCAAGAGAUCGGGAUAACACCUGGAAACAGAUGCUAAUACCGGAUAACAACAGAUGAUGCCUAUCAACUGUUUAAAAGAUGGUUCUGCUAUCACUCUUGGAUGGACCUGCGGUGCAUUAGCUAGUUGGUAGGGUAACGGCCUACCAAGGCGAUGAUGCAUAGCCGAGUUGAUAGACUGAUCGGCCACAUUGGGACUGAGACACGGCCCAAACUCCUACGGGAGGCAGCAGCG